This 250-nucleotide ribosomal RNA is filed under the name uncultured bacterium. RNAcentral's name for it is "partial 16S ribosomal RNA". It matches the Rfam family "Bacterial small subunit ribosomal RNA", at positions 524 to 773 of the family's 1533-position model. The record is from RNAcentral.
UACAGAGGUCUCAAGCGUUGUUCGGAAUCACUGGGCGUAAAGGGUGCGUAGGUGGCGUGGUAAGUCAGAUGUGAAAGCCUGGGGCUCAACCUCAGAAUUGCAUCCGAUACUGCUGUGCUAGAGUACUGGAGGGGUGACUAGAAUUCUCGGUGUAGCAGUGAAAUGCGUAGAUAUCGAGAGGAAUACCAAAGGCGUAGGCAGGUCACUGGACAGUUACUGACACUGAGGCACGAAGGCCAGGGGAGCGAAC